AAUGAACGCUGGCGGCAUGCCUUACACAUGCAAGUCGAACGGCAGCAUGACCUAGCUUGCUAGGUUGAUGGCGAGUGGCGGACGGGUGAGUAAUGCAUCGGAACGUGCCUUUUAGUGGGGGAUAACGUAGCGAAAGUUACGCUAAUACCGCAUAUUCUCUGAGGCGGAAAGCAGGGGACCUUCGGGCCUUGCGCUAGAAGAGCGGCCGAUGUCGUAUUAGCUAGUUGGUGAGGUAAAGGUUCCCAAAGGCAACGAUCCGUACCGGGUCUGAGAGGAUGAUCGGCCACACGGGGACGGAGACAAGGCCAAGGCUACUACGGGAGGCAGCAGUGGGGAAUUGUGGACAAUGGGCGCAAGCCUUAUCCAGCGAUGCGGCGUCAGUGAAGAAGGCCUUCGGGUUGGAAAGCUCUUUCGGCUGGGAAGAAAUCGCACCCUCUGAUACAGAGUGUGGAUGACGGUAACAGCAAAAGAAGCACCGGCUAACUACGUG
This 490-nucleotide ribosomal RNA is filed under the name uncultured bacterium. RNAcentral's name for it is "partial 16S ribosomal RNA". It matches the Rfam family "Bacterial small subunit ribosomal RNA", at positions 29 to 507 of the family's 1533-position model. The record is from RNAcentral.